AUACGGAGGGUGCAAGCGUUUCUCGGAAUUACUGGGCGUAAAGGACGCGUAGGCGGUUUAGAAAGUCAGAUGUGAAAGCCUAUGGCUUAACCAUAGAACUGCAUCUGAAACUCCUAGACUAGAGUGAGGGAGAGGUCAGUGGAAUUAGUGGUGUAGGGGUAAAAUCCGUAGAGAUCACUAGGAAUACUCAUAGCGAAGGCGACUGACUGGAACUUUACUGACGCUGAGGCGUGAAAGCGUGGGGAGCAAACAGGAUUAGAAACCCCAGUAGUCC
Molecule: ribosomal RNA, 274 nt
Filed under: uncultured bacterium
Lineage: Bacteria
Description: partial 16S ribosomal RNA
Rfam family: Bacterial small subunit ribosomal RNA
Source: RNAcentral